AACGAACGCUGGCGGCAUGCCUAACACAUGCAAGUCGAACGAGACCUUCGGGUCUAGUGGUGCACGGGUGCGUAACGCGUGGGAACCUGCCCUUAGGUUCGGAAUAACUCCCCGAAAGGGGUGCUAAUACCGGAUAAUGUCUUCGGACCAAAGAUUUAUCGCCUUUGGAUGGGCCCGCGUUGGAUUAGCUAGUUGGUAGGGUAAAAGCCUACCAAGGCGACGAUCCAUAGCUGGUCUGAGAGGAUGAUCAGCCACACUGGGACUGAGACACGGCCCAGACUCCUACGGGAGGCAGCAGUGGGGAAUAUUGGACAAUGGGCGAAAGCCUGAUCCAGCAAUGCCGCGUGAGUGAUGAAGGCCUUAGGGUUGUAAAGCUCUUUUACCCGGGAUGAUAAUGACAGUACCGGGAGAAUAAGCGCCGGCUAACUCCGUG
This 433-nucleotide ribosomal RNA is filed under the name uncultured bacterium. RNAcentral's name for it is "partial 16S ribosomal RNA". It matches the Rfam family "Bacterial small subunit ribosomal RNA", at positions 29 to 507 of the family's 1533-position model. The record is from RNAcentral.